RNAcentral lists this transfer RNA (74 nucleotides) under Bacteroidota bacterium. Its description in RNAcentral is "Bacteroidetes bacterium (groundwater metagenome) tRNA-Arg". It matches the Rfam family "tRNA". Rfam says of the family: Transfer RNA (tRNA) molecules are approximately 80 nucleotides in length. The record is from RNAcentral. Lineage: Bacteria; Pseudomonadati; Bacteroidota.
GGUCCCGUAGCUCAGCUGGAUAGAGCACAGGUUUUCUAAACCUGCGGUCACUGGUUCGAAUCCAGUCGGGACUA